AACCGAGUCUUAACCGGGCGUUAAGUUGCAGGGUAUAGACCCGAAACCCGGUGAUCUAGCCAUGGGCAGGUUGAAGGUUGGGUAACACUAACUGGAGGACCGAACCGACUAAUGUUGAAAAAUUAGCGGAUGACCUGUGGCUGGGGGUGAAAGGCCAAUCAAACCGGGAGAUAGCUGGUUCUCCCCGAAAGCUAUUUAGGUAGCGCCUCGUGAAUUCAUCUCCGGGGGUAGAGCACUGUUUCGGCUAGGGGGCCAUCCCGGCUUACCAACCCGAUGCAAACUGCGAAUACCGGAGAAUGUUAUCACGGGAGACACACGGCGGGUGCUAACGUCCGUCGUGAAGAGGGAAACAACCCAGACCGCCAGCUAAGGUCCCAAAGUCAUGGUUAAGUGGGAAACGAUGUGGGAAGGCCCAGACAGCCAGGAUGUUGGCUUAGAAGCAGCCAUCAUUUAAAGAAAGCGUAAUAGCUCACUGGUCGAGUCGGCCUGCGCGGAAGAUGUAACGGGGCUAAACCAUGCACCGAAGCUGCGGCAGCGACACUGUGUGUUGUUGGGUAGGGGAGCGUUCUGUAAGCCUGUGAAGGUGUGUCGUGAGGCAUGCUGGAGGUAUCAGAAGUGCGAAUGCUGACAUAAGUAACGAUAAAGCGGGUGAAAAGCCCGCUCGCCGGAAGACCAAGGGUUCCUGUCCAACGUUAAUCGGGGCAGGGUGAGUCGACCCCUAAGGCGAGGCCGAAAGGCGUAGUCGAUGGGAAACGGGUUAAUAUUCCCGUACUUGGUGUUACUGCGAAGGGGGGACGGAGAAGGCUAUGUUGGCCGGGCGACGGUUGUCCCGGUUUAAG
RNAcentral lists this ribosomal RNA (839 nucleotides) under Salmonella enterica subsp. enterica serovar Enteritidis. RNAcentral's name for it is "partial 23S ribosomal RNA". It matches the Rfam family "Bacterial large subunit ribosomal RNA", at positions 675 to 1516 of the family's 2925-position model. Lineage: Bacteria; Pseudomonadati; Pseudomonadota; Gammaproteobacteria; Enterobacterales; Enterobacteriaceae. The record is from RNAcentral.